UUAAAACACGAGUUCACUUACAAUCAAUGAAGUUAAGCAACAUCAAGCCUGGUCAGUACCUAGAUGGGUGACCAUUUGGGAAUACCAGGUGCUGUU
Acanthosepion pharaonis is the source of this 96-nucleotide non-coding RNA. Lineage: Eukaryota; Metazoa; Mollusca; Cephalopoda; Sepiida; Sepiidae. The record is from the annotation of a GenBank genome assembly.